This 492-nucleotide ribosomal RNA is filed under the name uncultured bacterium. Its description in RNAcentral is "partial 16S ribosomal RNA". It matches the Rfam family "Bacterial small subunit ribosomal RNA", at positions 29 to 507 of the family's 1533-position model. The record is from RNAcentral.
AGUGAACGCUGGCGGUAGGCCUAACACAUGCAAGUCGAACGGCAGCACAGUAAGAGCUUGCUCUUACGGGUGGCGAGUGGCGGACGGGUGAGGAAUACAUCGGAAUCUACUUUUUCGUGGGGGAUAACGUAGGGAAACUUACGCUAAUACCGCAUACGACCUACGGGUGAAAGCAGGGGAUCUUCGGACCUUGCGCGAUUGAAUGAGCCGAUGUCGGAUUAGCUAGUUGGGGGGGUAAAGGCCCACCAAGGCGACGAUCCGUAGCUGGUCUGAGAGGAUGAUCAGCCACACUGGAGCUGAGACACGGUCCAGACUCCUACGGGAGGCAGCAGUGGGGAAUAUUGGACAAUGGGCGCAAGCCUGAUCCAGCCAUACCGCGUGGGUGAAGAAGGCCUUCGGGUUGUAAAGCCCUUUUGUUGGGAAAGAAAAGCAGCAGGUUAAUACCCCGCUGUUCUGACGGUACCCAAAGAAUAAGCACCGGCUAACUUCGUG